AUUGUUUGCUACUCAGCCACGAAGAGAUAAGAAGCCUGUGUCAGAAUGCAUGUGAACACGCUGCUUGCUUCCUAGAAGCCUUGCUUUGAAAAAGAAGGUCUGCCCAUCCACAUCAUUUUGGCUGAAUGCGUGACCUAUCCAAUCCUUCCUCUCAUGGAAACACCAACUCAUCCAUGCCCUCUGUGCUGAAACUUCGUCUCAGCCUGCUGGAAUCACCUGCACCCCAUGGGAACUGUAGCCAUAUCUUCAGUCCUGUGAGCCCCCGUCAUGGCCUGUCACAGGAGUAAAUGAGGAGUAAGGCCCAGAAUACUCAGUACCUCUCAAUGACCCUCAGACGCUGUAGGAAGAGGAUUGGUUCACCUUUUAACCCAGAAUUUCUCACAUUGAAUGGACAGGAUGCAUUCCAAGAGGCCAGAGUAUGUGCAUCUCAGCUCCUGAUGGUUUCCACCACCACCAUUACUUUCUCUAUGUCAAGAUACCUGGGAAGCCGGUGUUUCAUUUGCAUUCUUGGAGCCCAGGAACUGUCUUCUACAAACUUUUCUUCCUAGUACCAUGUAAACGUACACAGGAAACGUUCAGAAAACAUCAGCCAAAUAGAAGAAUAAGGAAAUUCCUUCACUGACUAGAUAUUGGUGUUUGAUUCUGUCCUGCUUUGUACUCAAUGGCUAUUUCGGGGUUUCCAUUGCGGAAAACUAUUUGGAAAAUUGCAAGCCACGAGACAAGCCUCUAAGCUACUCCAGGAUCAUUGAGGACUCUCCAUGGGUUCUUAUUGUUAAAGAUCUUAACUCCUCAAGCCACUGCAUUUUUACUAUAUGCCUUGAACUACAAGAUGUGUUAAGAUUUAUAGGAUAAGGUUCUCAUCUCUAAAAACUCAUGGUCUCGAUGGAGAAGCAGUAUUUACACACAUGGAGAAGUUGAGAGUACUUGAAUGUGGAGUAUAAAGUGUGCGAUAUUGACAAGAAGCUCUACGAAAGUUCAGGAAGAGGAGGAGCAAGUGAGGAUGGAGAUGGACUUUGCAGAAUGGAGGAGAGGCAAAGAAACGGUUAGAAACAAUCUACAUAAUGAAAAGUCACUUUUGGGAGUUGUUUUAAGGCAGAGUAUCAUAUCGCAUCAAAACCGCUCCAUAAGUCCUGCCACUCCACGUGCAAUGCCAUGAACUUGAAGAAACUGCUGGUUAGAAGAAUCUUGGUCGUCCAGAAAGCUUGCUAUAGCUGCCCAGCAUUUGCCUCCUCCACAAAGAAGGACCAAAAGAACAAGUAGACAAUCACAUGCCAAAUAAAAUGUCUAAAGGAGAGCACUGAAGCUCAGCAAAAACGUUACAAAGACCCUCUGAGGUGCAGAAACUCGGGAUGGCAGCACAAAGAGGAAAGCAAAGCAGCCGGUCAGGAUCAGCUCACAGUCAAGGGCGCCCCGCCUUGAGUAGGAAAUGUAAGCAGGAGAUGCCCUGCAGGCAACAUUCCCACCACAAAUGCCUGCAAGCCUAGCUGUAGGAGAGCCUCGCAGUGUUGAGCCCAGUGCGGGAGCUGCCUGGAGUCUCUGUGACUACAUUACUCCAGAGAGGCCACUGGGUCCCUCCUUAGUCCCUGGGACCCAAGCCGCUGCAGCACAGUAUCAUUUUGAGGACAGAGCCACUGCCAGAAUGCUUCCUGUCCUGGGGCCCGGUAACCCCUGCAUGUCCUCAUCACUGGAGCCCCAAUAUCAUUCCACAGUUGUAUGAGGAGUAAAAAUAACUAUAAAUAAAGAUAACUCAAGAAUUCUAUAAGCAAGCAUACACAUGAAAUUCAUUUUAUAAGAGGAAAGCUAACUCCAUCUCUCUUGAAAUAUGGAAUAGGUUCUUGAAGCAAUUCUAAAUGCUGAUCUGCUGGAAUGAUGGCUUCAUUGCACAAGAAUUCUGCUUAGUUCAUUGAAGUCUCCUUGAAGAAGUCAGUCUGAGAAUGGGGGAAUUCCGUUGUUGGUCAGAAGAAUUCUUUGGUCACUAUUGGAAGUGGGUUCAGUUUAGGGUGACUAUUGAUCAACAGGGUUCAUGGGUUUGCUAAAACUCAUUUCAGGCAAGCUUUGGAAGUGCAGUUCGCUUGGUGCUUAUGGGGUUAAAAACAGGAGGAAGAGAAUUUCACAUUAUUGGAGGGCCUGAAAGGAAACUGAUUCCCGCAAGAUGCUCAGACAAGAUCAAACCCAGCCCCUUUUCUGGUUUGGAAUUUCUCUGGGCUAUAAAGGUAGAAGAAAAGGCCCUGCAUGGGCCCACUCUAAGUGCUUGGAGGUUUUAGAUAAUUUUAUUAAAUUGUAGAAUCUUAAACAGAACUACAAGGUUGCUUUUAAAACCAGAUCUCAGAUUUCUUUGAGCUAACAAAUGGUAAAAUGUAUCUUUAGUAUUAGAGUGAGAUAAAGGUAGUUAUAACUUUUUUUUUUACUUAUUUUAUGUUAACGUAUGCAACAAAGGGUACAAAUUGUAGGUACGCAGCUCAUUGAACUUUUAUGUCUGCACAUGCCUAUGAAACCAACACCCAGAGUAAGAUGCGGAUAAUUUUCUGCUCCCCUGAAAAUUCCCUUGUGCCUUUUCCUCAUCAGUACCUCCAAAGGUAACCACUAUUUUGAUUUCCAUUACCAUAGAUGAGUUAUACUUGUUUUUGAAAAGAUUAUUUGAAAUGUGUAAUAUAAAUAAUAGCGGUUGCUUAUCUUACAGAAAUAUCACUGAGAAUUCAUUUCUUCUCUCCUUCAUUUAUUCAUUUGUUCAAAACACUGUCUAGUACCAACAUUGUCCACCGGGCGUUGAGAAUACAAUAUUGAAGAAGAGUCACUGCCUGCCCUCUGGAAAAAUCAGAGUAUUUGAAAGAAUACACACAAGUAAACAGGCAGCUAUGGCAAAGUGGGUAAAAGCUGCAAAACAGGGAAGUUUCGCCAAGUGUCAGAUGCCAAGAAGUGUCAGAUGCCAAGAAGAAAGGGUGCAUGACAUAGACUUGGGGGGGUCAGUAGUGGUUUCUGGAACGAGUGACAUUUAGACUGAAACUGGAAGGAUAUGAGUAAGGGCUAAUCGGACCAAGAUGAAGAGAUACAGAAGCAGAAGGAACAGUAGGAACAAAUGCUCAGAGGCAAAAGAAAGCUUUGAAUAUUUGAGGAACUGAAAAGCAAAACAACAAAAAAUAGCCAUCCCUUGACUAGACAAGUGACCUGGGGUCAGAUCCUGAAGGGCUUUGCAGAUCACUUUUCCGCUUGUAGACUUUGUACUUGACUUUAAGGGCCAUGGAGAGCCACUGAAGCAUUUUCAGCAAGGGACUGUCAUCAGCAGAUUGGUAUUUGUUUUGAAGUAGCACAUGUAAGAGAAAAUAACAAUAUGGACAAAUAAAGAGUUUGAAAAACAACUUUGCUUUGAUACUUUAGGAUGAAAUAUCUGAGAUAGCAGCGCCCCCCCCCCCAUCAGCCAUUUUUAAUGACACUACUAUUUGAGCACAAGUUGCAAGAAAAUUUGCAACAAAUAGGCUUUUUCUGUAGAACACAAAGCAGGGAUGUUUGAACGAUGCAUUAUUUGAAUUCCAUCUUAGUAGGAAGCCAUCCAUAAUAGGAGGAAGUUGAGGAAUAGGCCUAAUGUUCACAGUGGCACAGGUGGCGUUUGCAUCUGCCUUCAAUGUUCCUAUGAUACGAAUCCUCCACUGCAGAAAAUUCCUCGUGGAAUUUUCUAUUUUAUGUGUUAAACUUUAUCGAAAUCUUUUCCUGAUGUUUAUAUUUCUGUGAUAAUCAUUAUUAAACUGAAAAAUGCGGAA
This 3755-nucleotide long non-coding RNA is filed under the name Homo sapiens (human). Its description in RNAcentral is "HSALNT0308799". Lineage: Eukaryota; Metazoa; Chordata; Mammalia; Primates; Hominidae. The record is from RNAcentral.